CAGCUGGCCAAGAACAAAAGUUGUCAUUAGCUGAUGACUGAAGGCAUUGCUGCAAUUAUUCAUGACUGAAAAGAGGAGGUGUAACUUCGAUGGGACAUGGACAAGCAGUGUUCCCACAGAAAACUGUGUAGACAUUCCCUUUCCCUUUGAUGCUCUACACUUGUUCAAGCAGAUCUGAUUCUAGCUACUUCACCUCUGAUGCUCUCAACUUCCUUUUGACAAUGAGCCUCUCUCCGACAACUUUCUUCGCUUCUAUCAUCUUUCUUCAUUCACGUGUAGAAUAGCUUGUGUGGGGGAAACUAUCUUUCAACCCGGUACAUGCAUGAUAAAUGUAUGAACAUGUAAAUUAUAUGAUGAACUCGCCCUUCGAGGGGUGACAUAU
RNAcentral lists this long non-coding RNA (382 nucleotides) under Populus trichocarpa (black cottonwood). Its description in RNAcentral is "long non-coding RNA (PTRI_LNC003053)". The record is from RNAcentral. Lineage: Eukaryota; Viridiplantae; Streptophyta; Magnoliopsida; Malpighiales; Salicaceae.